Molecule: long non-coding RNA, 1266 nt
Filed under: Anser brachyrhynchus (Pink-footed goose)
Lineage: Eukaryota; Metazoa; Chordata; Aves; Anseriformes; Anatidae
Description: lncRNA (ENSABRG00000021882.1)
Source: RNAcentral
AGGGAAUUUGCUUUUUCACUUGCACAAGAUGAAAGGAGACCAAGAUUUUCCUUUCUCCCCAGCUCCUCCUUUUCUGUGUCCAUCUCACCGCCUGGGAUGCAUUAGGGCGGACAGGCAUUGCUGCCUUGCAAUGUCCAUGCAGGGAGACUGAGAGAGAGGAAGGUGGAACAAACGCAUAGCAAAGGCUACAGCCACACUGAGAGGUGGGGAGAAGAUCCAGGUGUCCUCCUUCCCUUUCCUAAGCACAAAAGACCAGCACAUGGCACCAGCCCUGCUCCGAGGGGGGGCUGCAUCCAGCCUGGAUCUGCAGAAAAAGCAGAAGAUCCAGCAAGCCACGCACCCUCUCCUCCCUUUGUGUAGGUCUCCAUUCAUACCAGCUGCUGGCCUGGGCUUCUUGGGCAUGCAGAUCAGCUGUGCUGGCGACGGAUGGCCUCCCCAUAUCCCCCUCACUUGCUUUUGUUCACUGCUCCUGAGUUAAUGGCUUCGUCUCAGGAGUGGCCAAAGCGGGAGCCAUCAGCGCAGCUCUCCCCGAGAUGAGCAAUCUGUCCCGAGCAGCGAUUUCAAUUAAAGGGUCAUUAGCGUGAAAUCUUAUCCAGCCUGGCUCCCAUUUGCCAUCAGGAGGUCCUUCUCCUCCCCGUCCCAGGCCUCGCGCUGUGGUUAGAGCGCGCUGCUCCUGCUGGAGCCCUCCCGUUUUGCUAAAACACAGCAGCUGCUGCUAAUAAACAAACAUAUUGAUCAUGGAGAUAUGGGCUGUCAGGGACUUAAUUCAUGAAUGAAAUGUGCUUAAGGGUGCCCGGUAGGCAAGGGCUUUGCCUGGAGAGCUCGAGACCAAGAUGGUGCUUGGAGCACGUGGGCACUGUCCGCUGCUUCACCUACCUGUGGUAUUCGGCACUGACCCUCCUGCCGGUCCUGCCUUGCCUCCUGCCCCAGGGGCUGUGUUUUGGGGCUCACCAAAGAGGUUUCUGCUUCCUGCACAGGGGGAGAAGGAGGUGGUGUGCCUCCCCCAGCGUGUGUCUGUCUGCUGCUCUAACACCUUUGCUGUGGGACUCCUGUGUCCCUCUGCUUAAGGGAGGUCAAAGGAGCUCCAGGCCACAUGGAUGAGGUGGGGUGUCCAUCGUUCUGCAUCUCGUCCUUCCCUUAUUGACAGCACGAGCCCGUUCUCUGCCUCCCCUCCAGUUCCUGUGUCAGCAGGACAGGGACCUGGCAAGGAUGAGCUGGGAGGACCAGGAUUUCAGGCACCUUUUCAGAACCUGAUCUCACCGGCGG